AGAUUACAUUUGAAUGCUUGUAUUAAACUGAAGGCCGGCAUCAUCAGACUCAAGACGAAUACGCGAUAUAAUCACGAGUUUUCUAGCUGGACCCUCAUUACCUUAGGUUCAUUUUGAAGGGCUUGGACUUCAAACUGUUGAAGUCUGGAAUUACAAAAGCCGGAGUAUAUUGGAGAGAUUUUAUUUAAUCGUACCGUUUACGGUAUGGAUAACUCCAAAGGCAUCCAUGUCCUGCCUCUAUCCAAACUGGAAUGUCAAAAAGGAAUCCUUAGAAGCUGAGAUUGUCCCUACGAGGAUACUAGUACAAGUCCAGCCUGUCUUAUCUGGAGUCCUUCUGGUUACAAGGUAUGCUUGACAAGUCUUCACUUGAAAUCACAACAAUGUCGAGUGCAGACGACGACGACGCUCUUACUUUGGCAAAUUGGCAGCUUUCUGUAUUGUGGCCAAGCGAAAGGCAACUAGAAAGAACCGGCGGGAGUGUGCAAAGAGUGGGUGAAGAAGAGGAAAACAUAUUCUCAUGUUAACCUAUUGGCUGAGUUGAAGAUUUAUCCACGUGAUUGGCACAACUACCUUCGAAUGAACGAAGCGACAUACUUACAUCUGCUGUCACUGGUAACACCACUAAUUGCGAAGACCACUACAAACAUGAGAGAAGCAAUUUCUCCCCACGAAAGAUUGACUGCAACACUGCGAUUUCUUGCUACUGGAAGAAGCUAUGAAGAUCUUAAAUACUCUACCAUAAUUUCACCACAAGCUAUGAGCUACAUAGUUCCAGAUACCUGCCGUGCAAUUUUCGAGGUUUUGAAGGUUGAGUAUUUGAAGGUCAGCAAAUCAUCGUAUCUAUAGAAAUAAUACUCACUUCAUUUAACAAACUCCUUCAAAUUUUAACUGUAUUUCUAUUCAACGCCUUGAGAAAAUAGGGACAGAAAUAAGGACACAUAUCAAUAAUGAACAUUUAUUUCCAUGUACCUAAUUUAAUCUCAAUUUGUGAUAUAUCAUUACAUGUAAUACAUAGGAAAAAUGUAAACAAA
Long non-coding RNA from Macrobrachium nipponense, 1031 nucleotides. RefSeq lists it as uncharacterized. NCBI's taxonomy places the organism in Eukaryota, Metazoa, Arthropoda, Malacostraca, Decapoda, Palaemonidae. The record is from RefSeq and is a predicted model, not a curated record. The transcript has 4 exons.